Molecule: long non-coding RNA, 628 nt
Filed under: Ananas comosus (pineapple)
Lineage: Eukaryota; Viridiplantae; Streptophyta; Magnoliopsida; Poales; Bromeliaceae
Description: long non-coding RNA (ACOM_LNC001568)
Source: RNAcentral
CCAUGUUACGUCAAGUCAUGUUCGAAAUGGCGUGAGGCUCGAUGGGCUGAGUCAUGUUCGAAGUGGCAUGAGACUGGUUGGGCCGAGUUUCAAUCGAGACCCGUGGGCGUUGUAUCUAUAUGUUUUAAGUGAAUUGGUUGUGUGUAUUUCUAAUAGCUCAAGCUUUUGGGAUUAAUGGUAAGCGUCAACGAUCCGACAAGUGGUAUCGAACCAGAGGUCACGGGUUCGAUUUCCGCAUGCUGCAAAUGUGUGCAGGUGCUGGAAGGGGGAUUGUUGGCUUUAAAUAGGCCAGCAUCCUAUCCUAUGGCGGGAGGCCAUAUUGCGUCGAGUCAUGUUCGAAAUGACGUGAGGUUGGAUGGGCCGAGUCAUGUUCGAAGUGGCGUGAGGCUGAUUGAGCCGGGUCAUAAUCGAGACCUGUGGGCGCUGUAUCUAUAUGCUUUAAGUGAAUUAGUUGCGUAUUUCUAAUAGCUCAAGCUUUUGGGAUUAAUAGAAAGCGCCAACUAUCCGACAGCACCUACUAUUAUAUAGUUAAAAUGUAUACAUGAAACAUUACAUUAAAAAAAAUAAAUUUCAAGUUUUUUAAUUUUCAUGAGUGAACAAUAACAUAAUAGUCAGAAUAACUAAUAAA